RNAcentral lists this ribosomal RNA (800 nucleotides) under uncultured cyanobacterium. RNAcentral describes it as "bacterial SSU rRNA". It matches the Rfam family "Bacterial small subunit ribosomal RNA", at positions 28 to 869 of the family's 1533-position model. The record is from RNAcentral. Lineage: Bacteria; Bacillati; Cyanobacteriota.
GAUGAACGCUGGCGGUAUGCUUUACACAUGUAAGUCGUACGAGAGUUUUUAACUCUAGUGGCGGACGGGUGAGUAACACGUAAGAAUUUGCCUUUAGGAGGGGGAUAACAACUGGAAACGGUUGCUAAUACCCCAUAUGCUUUCGAGUGAAACGGAUUUCCGCCUAAAGAGAAGCUUGCGGCUGAUUAGCUUGUUGGUGAGGUAAUGGCUUACCAAGGCGACGAUCAGUAUCUGGUUUGAGAGGACGAUCAGACACACUGGAACUGAGACACGGUCCAGACUCCUACGGGAGGCAGCAGUGGGGAAUUUUCCGCAAUGGGCGAAAGCCUGACGGAGCAAUACCGCGUGAGGGAAGACGGCCUAUGGGUUGUAAACCUCUUUUUUCAGAGAGGAAUCAAUGACGUGUACCUGAAGAAUAAGCAUCGGCUAACUCCGUGCCAGCAGCCGCGGUAAGACGGAGGAUGCAAGUGUUAUCCGGAAUCACUGGGCGUAAAGCGUCUGUAGGUGGUUUAAUAAGUCAACUGUUAAAUCUUGAGGCUCAACCUCAAAAUCGCAGUCGAAACUAUUAGACUAGAGUAUAGUAGGGGUAAAGGGAAUUUCCAGUGGAGCGGUGAAAUGCGUAGAGAUUGGAAAGAACACCAAUGGCGAAGGCACUUUACUGGGCUAUAACUGACACUCAGAGACGAAAGCUAGGGUAGCAAAUGGGAUUAGAUACCCCAGUAGUCCUAGCUGUAAACAAUGGAUACUAGAUGUUGAACAGAUCGACCUGCGCAGUAUUAAAGCUAACGCGUUAAGUAUCC